AUUGAACGCUGGCGGCAGGCCUAACACAUGCAAGUCGAGCGGAUGAAUGGAGCUUGCUCCUGGAUUCAGCGGCGGACGGGUGAGUGAUGCCUAGGAAUCUGCCUGGUAGUGGGGGAUAACGUCAGGAAACGGGCGCUAAUACCGCAUACGUCCUGAGGGAGAAAGUGGGGGAUCUUCGGACCUCACGCUAUCAGAUGAGCCUAGGUCGGAUUAGCUAGUUGGUGGGGUAAAGGCCUACCAAGGCGACGAUCCGUAACUGGUCUGAGAGGAUGAUCAGUCACACUGGAACUGAGACACGGCCCAGACUCCUACGGGAGGCAGCAGUGGGGAAUAUUGGACAAUGGGCGAAAGCCUGACGCAGCCAUGCCGCGUGUGUGAAGAAGGUCUUCGGAUUGUAAAGUUCUUUAAGUUGGGAGGAAGGGCAGUAAUUUAAUAGCUUACUGUUUUGACGUUACCAACAGAAUAAGCACCGGCUAACUUCGUG
This 484-nucleotide ribosomal RNA is filed under the name uncultured bacterium. RNAcentral's name for it is "partial 16S ribosomal RNA". It matches the Rfam family "Bacterial small subunit ribosomal RNA", at positions 30 to 507 of the family's 1533-position model. The record is from RNAcentral.